UCAGUUGCUUCAUGGGCACAAGAUGGCGAAUUCACCUUUAGUUUUAUGUGACAGGAGGAAGUGACAGGAAGACACAUGUCUAUGAGUUAAGCAAACUUUCCAACAAAUUUCUUACAGUUGUACAUAAAUGUCUCAUUGACCAGAAUUGUGCUACAUGGCUGCUUCUGGCUGUCAGGGAUUUGGAUUCCACAGAUAUAUUAUUUGGAAUUGUGAUCAUUAAAUAAUGCUGAAGCCAAGCUCCUCAAAAAUGUUGUGGAAUAAUUUGUAGUGUAUUACAAAAGAUGCUGGAAGGAGCCUAAUAGAUGAAUGAUCUUGUUCUACGAUGGCUUGACCUUGAGGAUUAUAAGGAAUACUGUUUUAUGGUCAAUAUGAAAAAGAUGGCAAAACUGCUGAAAAGAAGAACUAGUACAAGCUGGAGCAUUAUCAGUUUUAAUAUGUAAAGGACAUCCCAAUGCUGCAAAAGCAGCCAAGCAAUGAGAAAUAACAUGUUGAGUAUUUUCAUUUACAUGAGUUGUGGCAAAAAUAAAUCUAGAAUAAGUAUCAACAAUAACAUAAACAUAACAUUGCUUGCCAAAUUAGGGGAUGUGAGUUACAUCCAUUUGCCAUAACUGAUUUGGCCGUAAACCAUGGGGAUUAACCCCAUUUGGUGAAGAUGGAAUAUAUAUAACACAUUGUGGGCAUUGAUAUGCAAUUCGAUGAACUUGUUCCCUAGUAAUAUUAAUUUUUUAUGUAAACUAGAAGCAUUUUGAUGAUGCAAAGAAUGUGAGGCUUAUGCACAAUCAUAUAAAGACAUUUGUUGACAAACAGUAACAAGUUUAUCAAUCUUAUCAUUACCUGAUGCUAAAUGUCCUGGAAGGUUAGAAUGUGCUUAUAUAUGGCCUAUGAAACACAGAUGGUGACACAUUU
Molecule: non-coding RNA, 906 nt
Organism: Ictidomys tridecemlineatus (thirteen-lined ground squirrel)
Lineage: Eukaryota; Metazoa; Chordata; Mammalia; Rodentia; Sciuridae
Source: RefSeq, a predicted model, not a curated record